UCUGUAGGUGGAUAAUUAAGUCAGAGGUGAAAUCCUGCAGCUCAACUGUAGAAUUGCCUUUGAUACUGGUUAUCUUGAGUCAUUAUGAAGUGGUUAGAAUGUGUAGUGUAGCGGUGAAAUGCAUAGAUAUUACACAGAAUACCGAUUGCGAAGGCAGAUCACUAAUAAUGUACUGACGCUGAGGCACGAAAGCGUGGGGAGCGAACAGGAUUAGAUACCCUGGUAGUCC
RNAcentral lists this ribosomal RNA (229 nucleotides) under uncultured bacterium. RNAcentral describes it as "partial 16S ribosomal RNA". It matches the Rfam family "Bacterial small subunit ribosomal RNA", at positions 568 to 796 of the family's 1533-position model. The record is from RNAcentral.